RNAcentral lists this ribosomal RNA (169 nucleotides) under Caracanthus unipinna (pygmy coral croucher). RNAcentral describes it as "partial small subunit ribosomal RNA". The record is from RNAcentral. Lineage: Eukaryota; Metazoa; Chordata; Actinopteri; Perciformes; Caracanthidae.
CACCGCGGUUAUACGAGGGACCCAAGUUGGUACUUUCCGGCGUAAAGCGUGGUUAAGGGAUAAAGAAAAUUAAAGCUGAACUUUUUCUGCGCCGUCAUACGCACCUGAAAAAAGGAAGCCCAAUUACGAAAGUAGCUUUAAAAACCCUGACUCCACGAAAGCCGUGGCA